Dunckerocampus dactyliophorus (ringed pipefish) is the source of this 1326-nucleotide long non-coding RNA. RefSeq lists it as uncharacterized. The record is from RefSeq and is a predicted model, not a curated record. The transcript has 3 exons. Lineage: Eukaryota; Metazoa; Chordata; Actinopteri; Syngnathiformes; Syngnathidae.
UUUCACUUUCAACAAAUCAUUAUUAAAGUUAUAAAAUGUACUUGGCAUGUAAUGAGUUUGAAAAUUUUGGAAAUAACAGAAUUUCUUCAAUUAUUGCAUGCUUUCAAUUUCAAUGAACCUGUUUUCGGUUUUGAUAUCCCCAGCUACAAUUACAGCAAUUAUGGUCAUAAAAAACAACCAAUUAUGAGGUCAUUGGAAUACUUUGAUUCGGCCUACCUGUGAUGUAGAGGUCUGCUUGGACACCUUUCAGCACUGAGGUUCCUGAUCCAGCACACACAGCAACGGUGCGCACAAAGGACUCUGGGAAGUAAGCAAAGAGGCCAAACGGAGGUGUCUCAAACCCAAGUGGGACUUCAUUUUCUGCACAGCUGUUGCCACAGUUACCGGCUGGUCUAAAACACUGAGUCGCCCUUGGCCGUGGUCCAACAGAGGAUCCAAAGCUUUCAGUUCCCCCAAAAGAGAAUCUAAUCUUUCAGUCCUGCUUUUGAACUCCACUAUGUGAGUGUGUUUUGAGGUGACGUAGGCCUGACUCAGCACAGAGACUUGACCAUGACCUGAAAAAAAGAGAAACAUAUGAAGGACACUUGUUCAGACUGCAUCAAAUAUGCAGAUAGGGGUGACACAUUUUCUGUUCCAAGUGACUUCUCACCGAGCCCGCCAACCAGCCAGUCGUUAACUCCUCCUCUAACGCUGUCCCAUGAUGUGUGAGGGGAGAAGACAGCCAUCCCAGCCUCCAAAGCACGGAUAACCAGUCGUUGCUUCCAGUCUUUCUGGACCAGACGCUUGAUUGGUUGAAAGAGCGGAGGGUGGUAUGACACAAUCAGAUCACAGCUCACGGCCUCCGCUUCCUCCAUGACGGUAUCCGUGAGGUCAUUGGUGAGUAGGAUGGUUUUCACAGGCCGCGGCUUGCUUGGCUCCACCAGGAGGCCCACAUUGUCCCAUGACUCAGCCAGUGAGAGGGGAGCAAGAUACUCCAACACCUGCACGACUUGAUUUAGAUCCAUGAGACUAGGGGCUGGGCUUUGAUGGUUGUUGUUCGACGUUAGAAGGAUGGCACAGAAAGACCUGGUGGAAACCCGUCUGUCGUUGCGUGAUGUAAAUAUUUUUUUAAGGUUCUUAUAUCCAGUCAAUACCAGGCGAGACCUAUGCGGAUAAACACAACAUUAAAAGCAUUCAAAUAAAUGCUCAUUCCAAAACAGUAAUGCGCGACCACAUGCAAAAGUGCAUAGGUGUUUUUCUGCGUUUAUUUGCCAUUUGUUAUGAGGCAUUGUGGGUAGUCACCCCCAGAAAUAAAUAAAAAAUAUUCAGUGCAGUUUUCUCAGUCAC